This 77-nucleotide transfer RNA is filed under the name Caudoviricetes sp. Its description in RNAcentral is "tRNA-Lys". It matches the Rfam family "tRNA". Rfam says of the family: Transfer RNA (tRNA) molecules are approximately 80 nucleotides in length. Their secondary structure includes four short double-helical elements and three loops (D, anti-codon, and T loops). Further hydrogen bonds mediate the characteristic L-shaped molecular structure. tRNAs have two regions of fundamental functional importance: the anti-codon, which is responsible for specific mRNA codon recognition, and the 3' end, to which the tRNAs corresponding amino acid is attached (by aminoacyl-tRNA synthetases). tRNAs cope with the degeneracy of the genetic code in two manners: having more than one tRNA (with a specific anti-codon) for a particular amino acid; and 'wobble' base-pairing, i.e. permitting non-standard base-pairing at the 3rd anti-codon position. Lineage: Duplodnaviria; Heunggongvirae; Uroviricota; Caudoviricetes. The record is from RNAcentral.
GUCCGCUUAGCUCAGCUGGCUAGAGCAACCGACUCUUAAUCGGUGGGUCCAGAGUUCAAAUCUCUGAGCGGGCACCA